UAGGGAAUCUUCCACAAUGGGCGAAAGCCUGAUGGAGCAACGCCGCGUGUGUGAUGAAGGCUUUAGGGUCGUAAAGCACUGUUGUAUGGGAAGAAAUGCUAGAAUAGGGAAUGAUACUAGUUCGACGGUACCAUACCAGAAAGGGACGGCUAAAUACGUGCCAGCAGCCGCGGUAAUACGUAUGUCCCGAGCGUUAUCCGGAUUUAUUGGGCGUAAAGCGAGCGCAGACGGUUGAUUAAGUCUGAUGUGAAAGCCCGGAGCUCAACUCCGGAAUGGCAUUGGAAACUGGUUAACUUGAGUGUUGUAGAGGUAAGUGGAACUCCAUGUGUAGCGGUGGAAUGCGUAGAUAUAUGGAAGAACACCAGUGGCGAAGGCGGCUUACUGGACAACAACUGACGUUGAGGCUCGAAAGUGUGGGUAGCAAACAGGAUUAGAUACCCUGGUAGUCCACACCGUNNNGAUGAAUACUAGGUGUUAGGAGGUUUCCNCCUCUUANUGNCGAANCUAACNCANUAANUAUUCCNNCUGGGGAGUACNACCGCAAGGUU
RNAcentral lists this ribosomal RNA (548 nucleotides) under uncultured bacterium. RNAcentral describes it as "partial 16S ribosomal RNA". It matches the Rfam family "Bacterial small subunit ribosomal RNA", at positions 355 to 895 of the family's 1533-position model. The record is from RNAcentral.